UGGCUAGAUGAAUCCAGCGCUCUGUGUCAGGCGGAAGCUCCUUCUUGCCUCGUGCCCGUUUGGAUGGAGGCUCGUUCGGCUCACUGCUGGAAUGUAAGAGGCUCUGCUCCAGAAGGAGGAUGCCCAUGGGUUGCUGCAGACUGGCCAAACAGCUGGCACUGACACUGGCUGGCUGCACAUCCAGUAGAGAGGAGUGAUGAAGGCUUGGAUUGUUCCAUCUCCUUCAGCACGCCAGAAAACAGCGAGCUGAACAGCUGCUUGGCCAGGGUGGAGUCCCUCUGCAGAGGAACCGUCGCCUCAGUCUUAGGAUAUCAGCACGUCUUUCCCGUUCGGCUGUACGGAAAUAAAUACUUUCACUGUAAUAUAAACAGUGGCACGUCGG
This is a long non-coding RNA of Ictalurus punctatus (channel catfish), 382 nucleotides long. The record is from Ensembl. NCBI's taxonomy places the organism in Eukaryota, Metazoa, Chordata, Actinopteri, Siluriformes, Ictaluridae.